GGGAACGGGAAGCCGGGACCCAGAACUCUUGUCUUUCAGGAUAAAGUGGCCAGUGUGUACGAAGCCCCGGGCUUUUUCCUGGACCUGGAGCCCAUCCCGGGAGCCUUGGACGCUGUGCGGGAGAUGAACGACCUACCGGACACGCAGGUCUUCAUCUGCACCAGCCCCCUGCUGAAGUACCACCACUGUGUGGGUGAGAAGGUGUGGCUGCCCCGCCCCUACUCCGCACGUGGAGCUGCCUAAAUCCUGAUUUUAAAAAGAAACCACCAGAAACCCAGAAGGUGGGGUACCGCUGGGUGGAGCAGCACCUGGGGCCCCAGUUCGUAGAACGAAUUAUCCUGACAAGGGACAAGACGGUGGUCUUGGGGGACCUGCUCAUUGAUGACAAGGACACACGCGCUGUCUUUCACUGUCCUAGGCCAGGAGGAGACCCCAAGCUGGGAGCACAUCUUGUUCACCUGCUGCCACAAUCGGCACCUGGUCCUGCCCCCGACAAGGAGACGGCUGCUCUCCUGGAGUGACAACUGGAGGGAGAUCUUAGAUAGCAAGCGCGGAGCUGCGCAGCGGGAAUGAGCGGGGAUGCCGCGGGCAGCAGCUGGAGCUAAAGGAAGGGCAGGCCCACAGGGGCCACCGCAGAGCCGAGUCGGGGCGGCAUCGUGCUGGUGCCUCUGGCCCCGUGGAGUGGAGCAGGCAGAUACCGUUAAGCGCUGUGCUACCGGGCCCCAGGCCCAGCCACCCGGUACCUCCCGAGAGGCUGUCCCUGGACCCUGGCUGGCAUGGAAAUACAGUGGGAAAACCAGUCGGGACCUUUAAUAAAAGACCUUGGCUUUCU
RNAcentral lists this long non-coding RNA (832 nucleotides) under Homo sapiens (human). Its description in RNAcentral is "long non-coding RNA NONHSAT176567.1". Lineage: Eukaryota; Metazoa; Chordata; Mammalia; Primates; Hominidae. The record is from RNAcentral.